UACGUAGGUGGCAAGCGUUGUCCGGAAUUAUUGGGCGUAAAGCGCGCGCAGGCGGCCUUUUAAGUCUGAUGUGAAAUCUUGCGGCUCAACCGCAAGCGGCCAUUGGAAACUGGGAGGCUUGAGUACAGAAGAGGAGAGUGGAAUUCCACGUGUAGCGGUGAAAUGCGCAGAUAUCGGGAAGAACACCCGUGGCGAAGGCGGCUCUCUGGGACGGUACUGACGCUGAGACGCGAAAGCGUGGGGAGCGAACAGG
Molecule: ribosomal RNA, 253 nt
Filed under: uncultured bacterium
Lineage: Bacteria
Description: partial 16S ribosomal RNA
Rfam family: Bacterial small subunit ribosomal RNA
Source: RNAcentral